RNAcentral lists this ribosomal RNA (253 nucleotides) under uncultured bacterium. Its description in RNAcentral is "partial 16S ribosomal RNA". It matches the Rfam family "Bacterial small subunit ribosomal RNA", at positions 524 to 776 of the family's 1533-position model. The record is from RNAcentral.
UACGUAGGGGGCAAGCGUUGUCCGGAAUCAUUGGGCGUAAAGAGCGUGUAGGCGGUUCGGUAAGUCUGCUGUGAAAGUCCAGGGCUCAACCCUGGAAAGCCGGUGGAUACUGUCGGACUAGAGUGCGGAAGAGGCGAGUGGAAUUCCCGGUGUAGCGGUGAAAUGCGCAGAUAUCGGGAGGAACACCUAUGGCGAAGGCAGCUCGCUGGGACGUUACUGACGCUGAGACGCGAAAGCGUGGGGAGCAAACAGG